CCUACGGGAGGCAGCAGUGAGGAAUAUUGGACAAUGGACGAAAGUCUGAUCCAGCUAUGCCGCGUGCAGGAUGACGGCCCUAUGGGUUGUAAACUGCUUUUAUACAGGAAGAAAAACUCCGACGUGUCGGAACUUGACGGUACUGUAAGAAUAAGGAUCGGCUAACUCCGUGCCAGCAGCCGCGGUAAUACGGAGGAUCCAAGCGUUAUCCGGAAUCAUUGGGUUUAAAGGGUCCGUAGGCGGUUUUUUAAGUCAGAGGUGAAAUCCUGCAGCUCAACUGUAGAAUUGCCUUUGAUACUGAAAGACUUGAGUUAUUGUGAAGUGGUUAGAAUGUGUGGUGUAGCGGUGAAAUGCAUAGAUAUCACACAGAAUACCAAUUGCGAAGGCAGAUCACUAACAAUAUACUGACGCUCAGGGACGAAAGCGUGGGUAGCGAACAGGAUUAGAUACCCUGGUAGUCCACGCCGUAAACGAUGGAUACUAGCUGUAUGUCUACUUCAGGUAGAUGUGUGGCUAAGCGAAAGUGAUAAGUAUCCCACCUGGGGAGUACGAUCGCAAGAUUGAAACUCAAAGGA
This 575-nucleotide ribosomal RNA is filed under the name uncultured bacterium. RNAcentral's name for it is "bacterial SSU rRNA". It matches the Rfam family "Bacterial small subunit ribosomal RNA", at positions 338 to 908 of the family's 1533-position model. The record is from RNAcentral.